AACCAUAGAAACCUGCGGAGUACCUGCGGAAGGAUCGUUACCGAGUUAUACAACUCAUCAACCCCUGUGAACUUACCUACAACGUUGCUUCGGCGGGAACAGACGGCCCCGUAAAACGGGCCGCCCCCGCCAGAGGACCCCUAACUCUGUUUUUAUAAUGUUUUUCUGAGUAAACAAGCAAAUAAAUUAAAACUUUCAACAACGGAUCU
Molecule: unclassified non-coding RNA, 209 nt
Filed under: soil metagenome
Description: partial contains 5.8S ribosomal RNA, internal transcribed spacer 2, and large subunit ribosomal RNA
Source: RNAcentral